CCUACGGGCGGCUGCAGUGGGGAAUAUUGGACAAUGGGCGAAAGCCUGAUCCAGCCAUGCCGCGUGUGUGAAGAAGGCCUUCGGGUUGUAAAGCACUUUCAGUGGGGAAGAAAGCCUUGGGGCUAAUACCCUCGAGGAAGGACAUCACCCACAGAAGAAGCACCGGCUAACUCCGUGCCAGCAGCCGCGGUAAUACGGAGGGUGCGAGCGUUAAUCGGAAUUACUGGGCGUAAAGCGCGCGUAGGCGGUCUGAUAAGCCGGUUGUGAAAGCCCCGGGCUCAACCUGGGAACGGCAUCCGGAACUGUCAGGCUAGAGUGCAGGAGAGGAAGGUAGAAUUCCCGGUGUAGCGGUGAAAUGCGUAGAGAUCGGGAGGAAUACCAGUGGCGAAGGCGGCCUUCUGGACUGACACUGACGCUGAGGUGCGAAAGCGUGGGUAGCAAACAGGAUUAGAUACCCUGGUAGUC
RNAcentral lists this ribosomal RNA (465 nucleotides) under Vreelandella stevensii. Its description in RNAcentral is "partial 16S ribosomal RNA". It matches the Rfam family "Bacterial small subunit ribosomal RNA", at positions 338 to 795 of the family's 1533-position model. The record is from RNAcentral. Lineage: Bacteria; Pseudomonadati; Pseudomonadota; Gammaproteobacteria; Oceanospirillales; Halomonadaceae.